AUUUGACAGACCCAGAGCAGUUACUGUCUGCUGCUAAGGGUUCCACCACACAUCCAAGAAGAAAGUGUCCUUGUGCUUCCUUUCUGAUUGUGGCAGUCAAGAUUGGAUAGAGAAAUACAGGA
Molecule: small nucleolar RNA, 122 nt
Filed under: Prolemur simus (greater bamboo lemur)
Lineage: Eukaryota; Metazoa; Chordata; Mammalia; Primates; Lemuridae
Description: Small nucleolar RNA SNORA31 (ENSPSMG00000014335.1)
Source: RNAcentral